Paraphoma chrysanthemicola is the source of this 132-nucleotide non-coding RNA. NCBI's taxonomy places the organism in Eukaryota, Fungi, Ascomycota, Dothideomycetes, Pleosporales, Phaeosphaeriaceae. The record is from the annotation of a GenBank genome assembly.
GGGCAUGUAGUCUAAUGGAUAGGAUACCUCAAAUUGCUUAGCACAAGCGCGCUAUUCCGUGAUUGUAUGCCUAGGACAGUCAGGUCAUGCCUGAUUGAUGAGGAGACGCGAGUUCGAGUCCCGCCAUGUCCA